This 253-nucleotide ribosomal RNA is filed under the name uncultured bacterium. Its description in RNAcentral is "partial 16S ribosomal RNA". It matches the Rfam family "Bacterial small subunit ribosomal RNA", at positions 524 to 776 of the family's 1533-position model. The record is from RNAcentral.
UACGUAGGGUGCGAGCGUUGUCCGGAAUUACUGGGCGUAAAGAGCUCGUAGGUGGUUUGUCGCGUUGUCCGUGAAAACUCACAACUCAAUUGUGGGCGUGCGGGCGAUACGGGCAGACUGGAGUACUGCAGGGGAGACUGGAAUUCCUGGUGUAGCGGUGGAAUGCGCAGAUAUCAGGAGGAACACCGGUGGCGAAGGCGGGUCUCUGGGCAGUAACUGACGCUGAGGAGCGAAAGCAUGGGGAGCAAACAGG